RNAcentral lists this long non-coding RNA (4188 nucleotides) under Phoenix dactylifera (date palm). RNAcentral's name for it is "long non-coding RNA (PDAC_LNC002874)". Lineage: Eukaryota; Viridiplantae; Streptophyta; Magnoliopsida; Arecales; Arecaceae. The record is from RNAcentral.
GCUCGGCGAAUUCCGACUGGCAUUAGAUUUCGGUCUCCCGUCCCAGCUCCUCGGAUGCUCGGCGUCGGUCUUUCCAAGGCGGUUCUCGCCAUCGUGAGCCUCUUACGAGCUUCUGGCUAGUAUUCAGUGGUAUGCUAUUCACUCAUUUUUUGUACUUCUCCUCCUUGUUGUGGUUGCUGCUUCUGCUAUAUGUUAUUUUCUUGGUUAGAUGUCAUCACUUGGCUUCAGAGGAUCUGUUCGGCUUCAAGAAUUUUAGAUUGAAAGAACUAGGCCUUUAGUUUGAAGCCUGAAGUCGAGUUAUGUUUCAACUGGCGUGUGGAAGAAAGGGGCUGUGGCUUUAAUCUGAUGGAAUCUUUAGGAAUCUGUGAGGAGAACAGGGGCUGGACACCCUGUACUGUUGGCUUGCAAUUAUAAGAUUUUGGUGUCUUCUAAAUUGGAUAUAAGUUGGGUUACAAGGGAGCCGGAAUCAUUAAUGAAAUAUCUUUUUUAGCCGUUUGACAAGUUACCUACUUUUGUACAAAAUCUGGGGGCGUUUUGAUUCUCCUUCUCUUGCAACGCCUUCUCUCGGACCAUGAAGAAAUCUUUUCUUGUUGAACAAAUUAACCACUCAAUGCAAGGAAUUUUGACAGAUGGUACAAAGAAUUCAUCAUUUUAGUUCUGCUGCAGAGAAUCAAUUUUGUUGCAUUUUAAGGUCAAUGGAAAAUAAUCAUUUCUCAUGGUAUCUUGAUAUACAUUUUAAUCAUUUAGCUUUUCAUAUAACUAAUCUGUCCUUCAAGUUUAUCAUCUCUCCCUCACUCUUUCUUUUUAAUUUUUCAUCUUUCUCAUUGUUCUUUAUUCCACAAUCUUUUGAUACCAGGACAUCUACAACCAUGUCCAGAUUUUUGAUAGUUUAUUUCUUCACUUGGAUUAUAAAAUAGUUGGUUGCUUGGAGGUGUGCAUUAUCCAUGAUACAGGACAGGGAAUUAGCAGCGAUGAAGAUGGAAGCGAUAGGGAUGAAGACGCUGAUUCAAGGGGUUGAUCAUGAUGGAAACCCAACCAUGGAGUGCUGGAUUAAGAGUCCUUUUUGCAUUUGAGUUCUGGUUUAGCCAAGUCAAAAGUCCUUCUAAUAUUUUGUUCCUAAAUUAAGUCAGGAUUAGCAUCUUUGUUUGAUUAAGUUUCUGAGUUACGAGUCCUUGUUGGUUUAGCCUUAAGAUUUAGUUUUUCUUUGAGUUCGUUUGCGAUGAGUUACGGUGUGUGCGAUCCUAUAUAAGGAAUCGCAAGGAGGGCUCGUUCCUUCUUCUGCUUGGUCUUUGUUUUUUCAGCCAUCAAUGAAUGAAAAUUAUGCUNNNNNNNNNNNNNNNNNNNNNNNNNNNCAUGCUCUGUUUCUGGUUCAGCAAACAGAGUUUUACUUGAUUUUUGCAGUGUCUAUUUGGUUCUGAGUUUCCCUCAGACCCAGCAGCAUUGUGAACUCCUUUUCUCCACGCUCCAGCCGCAUCAUUUGGUAUCAGAGCGAGGAUUUCCCUGGUUUGAUGGCAAAUGAUAGUGUGGCAAGUGUGCAUCCCAGCGACGGCAAACCUAGAGUGCCCGCUGGGCACCUAUUCGUGGCUUGCAAGGAGUCGUCCGUGACAUCCAACAGGUGCUCCAAGGCAUGCAAAUCGACCCCAACCGGGAGCGCGUGCAGGCUCAUGAGGAUCUCCAUCACGGUCCACCGGCACCGACGUGAGAUCCACCUCACCGGCGUCGCCAACAAGUUCCUCCGGAGUCUUCCAACGAGGAAGAAGAUGACGCGGUCUGUGGGGCAUUUGGUGGACUGCGUCUACACCUAGGUGAAUACGAAUUUGAUGGGAGCGACCGAAUCAGAAGAGCCUUCGAUUGUCGCUUUCCAGAUGGAGGAGCGGCUGACGAAGGAUUUAGCGGGCUACGUCCAUGGAGGAACAGGCCGGAGGCGUUUGACUGCAGGCUUCACGUUGGAGGUGCGGCCUUUGACCGCCGAAUCCCUGUUGAAGAGGGCAUUUUCGAGGAAGCCAACGAGUUACGUGCAUGGAGAGGAGACCCUACAGGCUAUAGGCAUGAAGGGUGCCAAUUUCCAGAGGGAGGAGUGCCCGACGAAGUUCUCGGUGGGUUGCGACCACAGCGGAACAGGGACCAUGCGGGCUUCAGGUGGAACGCAGAACCUGUAGCGUACGGGGUCAAUUGGGGCGCUCGGAACAAGGGCUUCCCUGAUUUCAGACUGAAGGUGGAUCUUCCUACCUUCAGUAGCAAUCUUCACAUUGAGGGAAUUUUGGAUUGGUUGGCCAAAGUAGAAAAAUUCUUCGAUUACAUGGAGAUCCCGGAUCAAAAGAAAGUGAAGUUGGUCACGUACAAAUUGAGAGGUGGAGCAACUGAAUGGUGGGAUCAAUUGCAAUAUAACCGUCUACAGCAAGGGAAGAUGCAGAUCACCACUUGGCGUAAGAUGAAGCAACAUCUAUGCGGCCGUUUCCUCCCGCCUGACUACAAGCAGGCACUCUACCAUUAGUACCAGAAUUUCCGAUAGAGCCCCCGGAUGGUGACCUAUGAAUUCAACCGUCUCAAUGCCUGCAACAACCUGUCGGAAACAGAAAAUCAGCAAGUGGCGAAGUACAUCGGUGGAUUGAAGCCGACAAUUCGAGAUCAUGUGGAUUUAUUUCCGGUGUGGAGCCAGUUGGAAGCCACAAAUUUGGCCCUAAAGCUCGAGGCACAAGCAGCAUGGAAGGCAAACCAGCCCACAAAUCGACAGUUUUCUCGAACUCCCCCAUAGCAAAGCAGAAGGCCGUUGAUGUGGCUGGCACUUCGGGCCAACCGCCACCAAUGUCCACAACCAGAAGAAAUGAAAAUUUCAGCAAAUAGUCGACGGCCCCAAAAGGUAAUAAAAAUCCCCUAUGAAAAGCCAAUGCCUAUAAAAUGUUACAGGUGUUAGGAGGUUGGGCAUCAGUCCAACGAAUGUCCGAAGAGGCGAUCAGUCAACGUGGUCGAAGCUGUGGAAGAAGAAGGGGUGCCUUUUGAGGAGGAAGAACAAGAGGAGGCGCCGACCGACGGCGACAACAUCGUGGUGACAAUGCUUGAUCAGGGGCCUCCAGCUUCUUUCGUGGUUCAAUAUAUCCUGUUUGUCCUAAAGAGUGAAGAAGAGUCGCUACGCCACAAUAUCUUCAAGAUCCGUUGUACCGUCAACAAAAUUGUGUGUAAUGUGAUUAUUGACAGCGGCAGCAACGAGAAUAUUGUUUCUUCCGCAUUGGUUCAUGCGAUGGGAUUGAAGACAGAGAGGCAUCCAUCUCCCUACAAGAUUGGUUGGAUUAAAAAAGGGACGAAAAGGAGAGUGGACAAGAUUUGUAGAGUGCCACUAUCGAUCGGGCAAUACUACAGGGAUGAGGUUUUGUGUGAUGUGGCCGAAAUGGACGCAUACCAUAUUCUACUUGGGCGUCCCUAGCAGCAUGAUACGGAUGUUACAUAUGGGGGUCGAGAUAAUACUUAUUUGUUUCAUUGGCAGGGUAAGACGAUCCUACUAGUGCCAGGUAAUGAAAGCACUACUCCCAAAGCUUCUAAAGUGGAGGGAAAGUCUUUUCUCAUUGUGCCAGAGAAGAUAGAUGAAUUGAUCGAGAAGCAGCUAUAUCCAAACAUUAACUCGAGAAUGAGUUGUUUUCAAGUGGAGGGGACUGAUGCAGGAUAGAGAAUAAGCAGUGAUGAAGAUGGAAGUGAUAGGGAUGAAGAUGCUGAUCCAGGAGGUUGAUCAUGAUGGAAACCCAACCAUGGAGUGCUGGAUUAAGAGUCCUUUUUGCAUUUGAGUUUUGGUUUAGCCAAGUCAAGAGUCCUUCUUAUAUUUUGUUCCUAAAUUAAGUCAGGAUUAGCAUCUUUGUUUGAUUAAGUUUCUGAGUUACGAGUCCUUGUUGGUUUAGCCUUAAGAGUUAGUUUUUCUUUGAGUUGUUUGCGAUGAGUUACAGUGUGUGCGAUCCUAUAUAAGGAAUCGCAAGGAGGGCUUGUUCCUUCUUCUGCUUGGUCUUUGUUUUUUCAGCCGUCAAUGAAUGAAAAUUAUGCUUGAGAGUUGCAGCGUUAAUCUCCUACUUCAUGCUCGGUUUCUGGUUCAGCAAACAGAGUUUUACUUGAUUUUUGCAGUGCCUAUUUGGUUCUGAGUUUCCCUCAGACCCAGCAGCAUUGUGAACUCCUUUAUAUUCUCCACGCUCCAGCCGCAUCAAUCCA